RNAcentral lists this long non-coding RNA (866 nucleotides) under Bos grunniens (domestic yak). RNAcentral's name for it is "lncRNA (ENSBGRG00000003035.1)". The record is from RNAcentral. Lineage: Eukaryota; Metazoa; Chordata; Mammalia; Artiodactyla; Bovidae.
UUCGAGUUCGUCCCGGGCGGCCGCGGGGCGCAGAACGCGGCGGAGGCGGCGCUCAGUCUAGCCCCACGGCUCGGCGGGCGGCCUGCGCUCGAGCUGCAUCCCUGGACGCGGAGGCACCUCCUGUGGUCGGGCUGGCGGGCGCGGCAGCAGGCCCCGGCCCGGUCCGAGAGGCGGGCACGCUUCUCACGGGUUGCGGGGCCCUUACUCCAUCACAGCGCCCGGCGCGGAGGCAGCGGCGACGGCAAGGACGGCAGCGCGGGCGUCGGCUUCCUGGAUCUAGUGCACCGAGCCGCGGCGGCGGCGAACGCUGCUGCUGCGGCUGACGGAGACCGCCGCCGCUCUCUCCAUAUCGGACGCGGGGUCCGGACUGAGCCUGGCUCUCCGCCCCGGCGGUUAGAGCCCGGCUGUUCCCUGAGGUGGCGAAGCGGCUAGGGGAGGCCCCCGCCCGAGAGGGGAGGGCCGGGGAGGAAGUGCGCGGGCCGGCGGCGGCGGGAGGGGGCGGGGAGCAGGCCCGGCCGGGCCGCGGCGGCGCCCCUCGCUCCUCAGUCGCUCACUCCGAGGUCACCAGGCGCAAGCGCCGCCCCCUCACUGCCCGGCCAUCUUCUCCGCGCCACACACACGGACGCCUCCUCCGCCAAGCACCACGGCCGCCACCGCCCACGACGCCCGGCCGGCCGCGGCUGAGGCGAGCGCUCACACCGACAGGCCCCGCCGCCGCCCAGCGCACACGGCUUCCCGCACUACACAGCUUCCUCGGUGACCGCCAACGCGGAGCCCCGGCUGGGUCGCGCCAUGUGACGCUCCGCCCUGGCCCCACGCGGCCUCUCCUCGCCCGGGCUGACCGCGAGACCUCGCCUUCUGUAUGA